GGUUCCCGCCCCCCUCAUCGCCCCGAAUCCGGCUGUCCCCUCAGGCCCCACUCUCUCCUUCCUCCGGGAGAGGUCCCGGCCGCGGCAUGAACGGGAGUCGCCGGCAGCCCUUCCCGGGCCCCAGCAGCACCUGCCGGGGCUGCCAUAGCGCGGUCGCGCCGGCUUUAGAAGCGGCAACGGCGGGAGCUGGAGCUGCGCCUCAGGAGAGCCGGGCUGAGGGGCGGGGCUGAGCGGGCAGAGUUUGGCGGGCCGGUUGAAAGGGCGGCUGUGAUUGGACGGAGCAGAGAAAGGCGGGCCGGGAUUGGCGGGGCUUCGGGCGAGGUGGGCGGGGCUUGGGGCCUGCCGUGCUGAGGGGGACGGGAGGGACCUUGAGCGGCGAGCGAGGUGUGGAGAAAAGGCGCUGGGGUGAAGUGUGUUCUGGUCCCGGCGGUGGAGCAAGGAGCUUGACGGUGUUCUGAAUUGCUACAAUGAGAGCCCAGAGCCAAGGAGCAUCCCAUAAGUCUGGACCAAACAGUGCCAGUACGAGACGCUGGCUCUGUUCAGUGCCAGUCUGCGUGGAGCACCCCAGAAACAGCACGGAGAAGACCAAGGGGUGGCCUUCAGUGUGGUGUUGGUAGAAGAGGGCAGAACUAAUAUCACUUCAGUGCUGAGCCAGUGACACUUAAUGAGGCCCUUCAAGUUAUGCUGGACCUUCAAAUGAAGAGCAAGAACAACAGAGUCUGUUAAAAGUAUGUUUUGCUUCCUUCCCUCUCAGAUGAGCAGGACAAAAAAGCUUACAACUCCAGUUUUGAUGUAUUUACUGACUUACACAAGAUGGCCAUUAGCGUUGAUCAGAGGCAAUUUUUUCUGGUUUUGUUCAAUUUCUUUCUAAAAUGUUGUCAUUUACGAAGAGAUAAACAGUCUGUAAAUGUAAAUCCAUAGGUUUUUUUACAGUUCUUACAUAAACAACUAAGGCCUCUCAAAUCACUGAAGGUCAUUAAAAUUUAAUGCUGUGUAAAGUUCAGUGAUCAAUGUAUCCAUUUAGUAAACAUACCUUUUUGUACAAGCUUUUAGCCCUCAUCUUAUAUUAGCAUUCAGGUGGAAUGACUACUGAAGUAUUCUAAAUAUUUCUUUUAAAUGAAGCUUUUAAAAGGUUCCUCUUGCUUUUACGUUUAUACCCUUCAAAUUAAUAAAAGGUUUUCCAUUAUGUGAUGUCA
RNAcentral lists this long non-coding RNA (1196 nucleotides) under Cyanistes caeruleus (blue tit). Its description in RNAcentral is "lncRNA (ENSCCEG00000020036.1)". The record is from RNAcentral. Lineage: Eukaryota; Metazoa; Chordata; Aves; Passeriformes; Paridae.